GGGUUGUGAGGUUAAGCGACUAAGCGUACACGGUGGAUGCCCUGGCAGUCAGAGGCGAUGAAGGACGUGCUAAUCUGCGAUAAGCGUCGGUAAGGUGAUAUGAACCGUUAUAACCGGCGAUUUCCGAAUGGGGAAACCCAGUGUGUUUCGACACACUAUCAUUAACUGAAUCCAUAGGUUAAUGAGGCGAACCGGGAGAACUGAAACAUCUAAGUACCCCGAGGAAAAGAAAUCAACCGAGAUUCCCCCAGUAGCGGCGAGCGAACGGGGAGCAGCCCAGAGCCUGAAUCAGUGUGUGUGUUAGUGGAAGCGUCUGGAAAGGCGCGCGAUACAGGGUGACAGCCCCGUACACAAAAAUGCACAUAUUGUGAGCUCGAUGAGUAGGGCGGGACACGUGGUAUCCUGUCUGAAUAUGGGGGGACCAUCCUCCAAGGCUAAAUACUCCUGACUGACCGAUAGUGAACCAGUACCGUGAGGGAAAGGCGAAAAGAACCCCGGCGAGGGGAGUGAAAAAGAACCUGAAACCGUGUACGUACAAGCAGUGGGAGCACGCUUAGGCGUGUGACUGCGUACCUUUUGUAUAAUGGGUCAGCGACUUAUAUUCUGUAGCAAGGUUAACCGAAUAGGGGAGCCGAAGGGAAACCGAGUCUUAACUGGGCGUUAAGUUGCAGGGUAUAGACCCGAAACCCGGUGAUCUAGCCAUGGGCAGGUUGAAGGUUGGGUAACACUAACUGGAGGACCGAACCGACUAAUGUUGAAAAAUUAGCGGAUGACUUGUGGCUGGGGGUGAAAGGCCAAUCAAACCGGGAGAUAGCUGGUUCUCCCCGAAAGCUAUUUAGGUAGCGCCUCGUGAAUUCAUCUCCGGGGGUAGAGCACUGUUUCGGCAAGGGGGUCAUCCCGACUUACC
This 907-nucleotide ribosomal RNA is filed under the name Escherichia coli. Its description in RNAcentral is "partial 23S ribosomal RNA". It matches the Rfam family "Bacterial large subunit ribosomal RNA", at positions 1 to 940 of the family's 2925-position model. The record is from RNAcentral. Lineage: Bacteria; Pseudomonadati; Pseudomonadota; Gammaproteobacteria; Enterobacterales; Enterobacteriaceae.